This 573-nucleotide ribosomal RNA is filed under the name Bivetopsia haemastoma. Its description in RNAcentral is "partial 12S ribosomal RNA". The record is from RNAcentral. Lineage: Eukaryota; Metazoa; Mollusca; Gastropoda; Neogastropoda; Cancellariidae.
GGUUAGACUAGAAGACCUAACUAUAUUAUUAAGGUAAAAAGGUGGUUAGAUGAACAAUAUUAUAAAAUGGCUUUUUAAUUUACUAUAAAAAAGUGGAAUUUUUAUAUAGAUAAAUAAAUCAAAAAUGGCUAUAAUGAAUUGAAUCCACUAUAACUUUGAGGGAAACUGGGAUUUGAUACCCCAUUAUUCUUAGUUGUAAAUAAACGCUUAGUUUACCAGAGUACUACGAAUAAUUCUAAAAUUUAAAACUCAAAGAGCUUGGCGGUAUUUUAGACCACUUAGGGGAACCUGUCUCAUAAUCGAUAAUCCACGAUAUACCUGACCUUUUAUUGCAACUACAGCCUGUACACCGUUGUCACCAGGUAACCUUUUAAAGAAAUUGAGUUAGCAACAAAAUUUACAAUGAAUUUAAAUGUCAAAUCAAGGUGCAGCUAAUGAAAAGGAGAGGAUGGGUUACAAUUAAGAUUUAUAAAAUGAAUCAAUUAGUGAAACUUGACUGUGAAGGAGGACUUAAAAGUAAAAUUAUAUAUAAAAAUAAUUUGAAUUAGGCUCUGAAAUGUGUACUAACCCCCG